AUCUAUUUCUAUUGUUAUCUCCGUCAUCCUCGCUCUCCUAUCUUCUUCAUCCUAUUUUCUCACAGGCAAAAGAAAAACCAAAGAUCUAGCACACACCCGUAAGUAACCAAUGAAAAUGUUUCAUACCAUCACCUUAAAAGGUUUAUUUUUCAUUUGCGGAUUUCAAAGAAAUCAUCCGAUGAUUUCUUUUGAAGUAGCUCUUAGUUUGUCAAAUACUCAGUUUUUAUGUAUAAGAAAUAUAAGCUCUCUUUAAUUUUAGUAUUUUAAAACGAAUGAAAAGGUGAAGAAAAUUUCAUUAACAUAGUCACUAAAAUCCCUAACAGAAAGAAAUCAAGAUUCACUUUUCUACACCACCUUCUGGAUAUGGUUUUUCAUGAAUUAAUUUCGAAACUGCUGGAAUUCGUUGAAGAGAUAUCAACGUGAUCUGGAAAGGAAGCCGCAACUCUCUUAAAAAGGUGGAGUGAAUAAUGCUUCAUCAAGUGCUGCCAUUCUUUUCUCUUGCGUAUAUGAACUGGUAAAAUUCAAUUAUAAUUCUUGUCUUCUUUUUUCAUAUUGUGCUGAUUGCUAACUAUUUAUUCAUAAAUUACCAUCUUUGUGUAUUUUUAUUGGAUUUACUUUCCUUUGUUUGGUUGCUUAUUACAACGAGAUUUCUCUUUACUUUUGAAAAACUAGUAUCAGCUGGUGUUGGUUUCCCUAUACUAGUAUCUCUUUUAAUCACCAUUAUAAGGUUCAUAAUAAGUUUCAAUGUUCAUCUACUUUUCUAUACCUUAUAUAGUUGUAUUAUCCUUGCAAUAAUAUAAUUGAAAUGGUUCUCGCAUGAUUUUGUUAGCUUUUUUUUUCCCGAAUUAUAGUUGCCUGGAAGUUUGAUGAGCAAGUUCAGUUGUUAUAUUCAAUGCAUUUUCAUGAAUUUGAAUUUAACUUAUGGUCUUAAGUUGAGGUUUAUAUAUGUCUUUCACAAAUCUAACCAGUGUGUUAUCAAAGAGAAAGGCAUUUAGUUCCACUAGUUGGGUUUUGAUUAAAGUGUAGCUGAACUAUUCGUUUUUUUUUGUAGACUAAGUCAUAAUUAUAUAUGUAAAAUAUUGAACCUAAUUCAAUCUCUGUAACAUAUUCACUGGAUACCACAAUCUUAUCUAAGCCUCUUUCUGUGUGGCUUUUGUGUUCUAAUGUACCGUCUCUCUCUGGGAGGACCAUUUGUUCGAGCUACCCAAGUGGUAUUGUACCAUCAGACUGUUAUAUUUUUUGAAGCAGUACCAUCAGAUUGUGAUCAAUGCUCUUUACUUUAUUUAAUUCUUUUACUAGAAUAAUUAAUUGUCAUCUCUCAUGUAUAUUUUUGUUGAAAUUGGAAUAAUAAGAUGUAUUAUCAAUCAUAAAUAAAAAAUAGUUUGAAUUGUUAUGUUAUAAAUAUAUGGUGGAUUUACACCACACUUACAUCACCACCUUUACAUCUCCUUCACCACCAUUAGUCUUCUUGUAACCUCCAUCUUAGUACAUGUUAAUGGCUAGUAAUGGUUGCAUGCCAUUAUCUCUAUUACUUAAUGCCAUUAACCACCCACUCUAUUGUUUGACCUAUAAAUAGAGGUCCUUAAACAAUUGUAUGAUACACAACUAAUGAGAAUUCUUAUUUUUCUUUUCUCUCUACUUUCCAUCUUUCUUUUAGUUUAUAACACGUUAUCAGCACGUUGCUCUACACCGAGCUUCGAAAUUUUUAAGAAGAAAAUCAACAAAGGAAAAUUGGUGAUAUAAGAAAAUUUUCUCUCCAACAAUUUAUUUUAGUAAUUGUUUUAUAAUUCUUUAAAUACGCUUGCACGGUUAUGCUAAUUAUUUGUUUGAUUUCUUUUUGUAUGUACUCUACUUGGAUGUACGUAUACUAUUUAUUUUUGGGUAAGUUCACCUUGGUUUGAGGUAAGUAUAUUGUAGAAUUUUUUUUUACAUCAUACGAUUACAUUGUUAUUAUUUUUUUU
This is a long non-coding RNA of Papaver somniferum (opium poppy), 1961 nucleotides long. RefSeq lists it as uncharacterized. The record is from RefSeq and is a predicted model, not a curated record. Lineage: Eukaryota; Viridiplantae; Streptophyta; Magnoliopsida; Ranunculales; Papaveraceae. The transcript has 2 exons.